GGCCCUGUGGAGCAGCUAGGAGUGCUCGCCACCCUGUCACGGUGGAGGUCGACGGUUCAAAUCCGUUCAGGGUCG
RNAcentral lists this transfer RNA (75 nucleotides) under Mycobacterium phage Tonenili. It matches the Rfam family "tRNA". From Rfam's summary of the family: Transfer RNA (tRNA) molecules are approximately 80 nucleotides in length. Their secondary structure includes four short double-helical elements and three loops (D, anti-codon, and T loops). The record is from Rfam by way of RNAcentral. Lineage: Duplodnaviria; Heunggongvirae; Uroviricota; Caudoviricetes.